CAGUAGCCGCGGUAAUACAGAGGGUGCAAGCGUUAAUCGGAAUUACUGGGCGUAAAGCGCGCGUAGGUGGUUUGUUAAGUUGGAUGUGAAAGCCCCGGGCUCAACCUGGGAACUGCAUCCAAAACUGGCAAGCUAGAGUACGGUAGAGGGUGGUGGAAUUUCCUGUGUAGCGGUGAAAUGCGUAGAUAUAGGAAGGAACACCAGUGGCGAAGGCGACCACCUGGACUGAUACUGACACUGAGGUGCGAAAGCGUGGGGAGCAAACAGGAUUAGAUACCCCCGUAGUCCCUGUCUCUAUACA
This 301-nucleotide ribosomal RNA is filed under the name uncultured bacterium. RNAcentral describes it as "partial 16S ribosomal RNA". It matches the Rfam family "Bacterial small subunit ribosomal RNA", at positions 509 to 808 of the family's 1533-position model. The record is from RNAcentral.